Amphiprion ocellaris (clown anemonefish) is the source of this 869-nucleotide long non-coding RNA. RefSeq lists it as uncharacterized. NCBI's taxonomy places the organism in Eukaryota, Metazoa, Chordata, Actinopteri, Pomacentridae. The record is from RefSeq and is a predicted model, not a curated record. The transcript is spliced from 5 exons.
CCCUGGAAGACCACACGGCCAAGCCAAAACCAUCAGCAGACAGUUGCAUUUAUUUGAACAAACUGUGAAAGACCGGAACCUGGCUUCACAUCCAGACCUGCUGCUCGGAGCGGCUUCCGUCUUCAAGCUACUGAAUGGAUGGAGGGGAAGGACAUUUUCAGGAAUAGAAACAGAACUGCUGUUCAAGUAGGGAGGAGAGAUGUGCACAGCUGAUCUUUAUUCAUGGCUUCCUUUGAUGACAGCAACAGGCUUGGCAGCGAAUACCAUUGUGACGAUCCAUUAUAGGAUUUGAGCACUUCACUUACAAGAAAUGUUUGAAGACGACAGGCAGGCGGAGUUGGGACGGCUUCAAACGCACCCUGGAUUCAUCUCCGAUGCUGGCCGGGUUUCAGCGCCUUUCAGCGAGCUUCCGUCGGCACAUCCACGCCAUGUCAGCCGCGCCGAAAAUCCUGGAGUCCGUGAUAAAGGCGAAAUGAAAAGAGCAAAUCCAAUAUGGGCCGUGAAAGCAUGUGCAUGCAUAAAGAACAGCAGCCGUGUGAUUGCUCAAGCGAGCGUGGGGAAGGAAGAGGACAUAAAGUGCUGAGAAAGAACAACGGAGGAUGAGACUGUUCACUUCUAAAAGCUCUUAAAAGCUGCACUUUUAUCAUGUGAUACCGGCGGCUUUAGAAACCAGAGUGAGGGAUAGAAGGAAGUCCGUCUUCGAAGGAGACAGACGUACUCUUUACCUUCGUCUCAUGACCUUACUUACCGGAGCAGAGGCCCAAACACAAAGCAGCAGCUUUGUAGUUUUUAACCCUUUUUCCCUCCUCGUGUCGCUGUCUGACUUUACUCUUCAUAUUCAUGCAACAUCAUUUUUGAGAAAUUCUGAG